Molecule: long non-coding RNA, 224 nt
Filed under: Eucalyptus grandis
Lineage: Eukaryota; Viridiplantae; Streptophyta; Magnoliopsida; Myrtales; Myrtaceae
Description: long non-coding RNA (EGRA_LNC007212)
Source: RNAcentral
UUCGGUCUCAGUAGGUUGGGAAAUCUCACUUUUAGCCCCUAUACUUUGGUUAUAAGUCCAGUCCUCAUACUGUUCUAUGGUGACAAUUUAAAUCACUUCGUUAAAAUUACCGGGACAAAGAAUUUUGCGUCCCCCGAUAAUUUGGAUGUAAGCUCUUUUUCAAAAAGAAAAAUUUUUCCGAUGAUUUAGUUGGACUUUCCAAAUUAUUUAGGAGUCAUUUUCCA